This 297-nucleotide long non-coding RNA is filed under the name Gallus gallus (chicken). The record is from RNAcentral. Lineage: Eukaryota; Metazoa; Chordata; Aves; Galliformes; Phasianidae.
GGGGUGUCCAGCUGCUUCAGUGGUGGAGAAGUCUGAAGUUGCAGUUCAUAGACAGCAUGAGGAGAGCAAUGCACUGGAUUAGGUACCAUGUUGGAACAAGCAUGAAAUGUCAACAUCGUGACUCCUGGAGAGGAUUUCGAUUGACACAGGUGUGAAAGCAGCAGUGGGUCCUUCUGUGCAAGCACUGCAGGUGCGGAUUCUGUGCUGAGUUGUGACCCCACAGCGCCCUGUCAACUGCGGUGUGACUACAUCAUGUGUGAGACAUCACAGCUAAUAUUUCCAAAAGCACCUCCUGUG